Molecule: long non-coding RNA, 1181 nt
Organism: Stegodyphus dumicola
Lineage: Eukaryota; Metazoa; Arthropoda; Arachnida; Araneae; Eresidae
Source: RefSeq, a predicted model, not a curated record
GAGAAGACAAGAUGUUCUACCUCAUAGAAAUUCUGUUCACCAGCAAACGGGUAGUAAAGUGCGGAGGCAGUUCAAAUCCCUAGGCUCACUGGCCUCCAGUCGUUUAACAUUUUGUAAACAAUCCUGACGUAGGUUCAAAAGUUGUUUGGAAUUUGCUGAAUGUGGACAUUUUGCCUCAUGUACAAAAAAAUUGAUAUUAGAAUUGAGACCAAUAUUGAAAUGACUCAGGACUUCAUUGAAAGGAAGUUGAAUGGAAUUUUAUUAUGUACAAAUAUCUUUGCGCAGAUCAUAUUGGGAGCAACGUUCAGUGUAAUUUCUGCAAGAAAAUCAUACUUGUGGAUGACCUUUUUUUUUCAUUCUUUUGUUUUCUCUAAUUAUAAACUGCAAAAACUAUUUUCUGCUACAAAAUUUUUACCUGACGAUUAUCAUGCAAAUUAUAAAAGAAUAACUAAGAAACAUUUAUCAGUAUCUGUUAUAAUUAGAAAUUAACAAGCUAUUCUUUACUUAAAGUAAUGCUUGAUUUUACAAGUGUGGUUUUCUUGUUUUAAAUUUUAAUCUUGGUUAAAAUUUUGCAUAUUUGUAUCCUUUUUAAGAUCUUCCUCGCUGCUCUGAAAUACAUUGCUCUUGUUUUAAUAUUUGCAUCAAAUUAUAUAUUAAUACUACAUAUUACCACAACAAAAUAUUAAUUUUUAGCAUGUUAUUUUCUUUAAAGUUAUUAAACUGAAAAAUUUGAAAUAAAAUUUCUUACCAUUGUAAAAGUAAAUUCAUCAUAAUUGUGUAAAUGUCCAUAAAUUGUGAAAAAUCUGUUCAUGAAAAACAAUGUCUUGGGAAAAUUUUUGUAGAAGAUGCUGAACUUUAUUCAUCCAUCCAAGACUAUUUAAAAAAUCAUGUUUUUACUUUUUUAUGAACUUACAGCAGAGGUGCAAUAAUGCUGUUAUUAGCGCACAAUGUGAUUGUUUUGUUAUUUUUAAACCGGUAAUUCAGAUAAUAAUGAUGUUGAAUUUUUUUUAUUGUAAUACACAUAAGGAUUUUGAUAAAUUUAAGGCAAAACUGAUAUGGCAUGAAAUAAAUGCUUUACAUAUCAAAAUGCUUAUGUACUUUAUAAUUUUAUGAUCAUAAAAACUGUACUGUUUGUUCGCAGCAUUAUUAGGCAUGUUGUUCAAUAAAAAAUUUUUAUCUUA